Molecule: long non-coding RNA, 267 nt
Filed under: Brassica napus (rape)
Lineage: Eukaryota; Viridiplantae; Streptophyta; Magnoliopsida; Brassicales; Brassicaceae
Description: long non-coding RNA (BNAP_LNC016743)
Source: RNAcentral
AGGAGGUAAUGAUGGAAUAUGGUUCCCUACUAUUGUGGUUAUGCAUUAAGGCCAUUGUGUGGGUCAGCUGCAAGUUUUCUUUGCUGAUAGAAAUGAAUUUAGGACUUGGGUUUUAGUGAUCUCAAGUUUAAAUCUCUCUAGUAAUUUUCGUCGUUGGUAUUACUACUGUUUAUUACUAGACGUUUGGGGCUUUCUCAGAAUUGUAUUGAGCGGGGAGGAGUCUAAAGAUGCUUUUAGCAGGAGAUUUUUACUUUAUGAGAUAUCUUU